RNAcentral lists this ribosomal RNA (383 nucleotides) under uncultured bacterium. Its description in RNAcentral is "bacterial SSU rRNA". It matches the Rfam family "Bacterial small subunit ribosomal RNA", at positions 524 to 906 of the family's 1533-position model. The record is from RNAcentral.
UACGAAGGGGGCGAGCGUUGUUCGGAAUUACUGGGCGUAAAGGGCGCGCAGGCGGCCGCUCAAGUCAGGCGUGAAAGCCCCGGGCUUAACCUGGGAAUUGCGCUUGGGACUGUGUGGCUGGAGUUCGGGAGAGGAGAGUGGAAUUCCCAGUGUAGAGGUGAAAUUCGUAGAUAUUGGGAAGAACACCGGUGGCGAAGGCGGCUCUCUGGACCGAUACUGACGCUGAGGCGCGAAAGCGUGGGGAGCAAACAGGAUUAGAUACCCUGGUAGUCCACGCCGUAAACGAUGUGCGCUAGACGUUGGAGGCCCUAGGUCUCCGGUGUCGCAGCUAACGCUUUAAGCGCACCGCCUGGGGAGUACGGCCGCAAGGUUAAAACUCAAAG